Molecule: ribosomal RNA, 488 nt
Filed under: Paracoccaceae bacterium
Lineage: Bacteria; Pseudomonadati; Pseudomonadota; Alphaproteobacteria; Rhodobacterales; Paracoccaceae
Description: bacterial SSU rRNA
Rfam family: Bacterial small subunit ribosomal RNA
Source: RNAcentral
CCGCGUGAGUGAUGAAGGCCUUAGGGUCGUAAAGCUCUUUCGCCAGGGAUGAUAAUGACAGUACCUGGUAAAGAAACCCCGGCUAACUCCGUGCCAGCAGCCGCGGUAAUACGGAGGGGGUUAGCGUUGUUCGGAAUUACUGGGCGUAAAGCGCGCGUAGGCGGACUAUUAAGUCGAGGGUGAAAUCCCAGGGCUCAACCCUGGAACUGCCUCCGAUACUGGUAGUCUUGAGGUCGAGAGAGGUGAGUGGAAUUCCGAGUGUAGAGGUGAAAUUCGUAGAUAUUCGGAGGAACACCAGUGGCGAAGGCGGCUCACUGGCUCGAUACUGACGCUGAGGUGCGAAAGUGUGGGGAGCAAACAGGAUUAGAUACCCUGGUAGUCCACACCGUAAACGAUGAAUGCCAGUCGUCGGGUAGCAUGCUAUUCGGUGACACACCUAACGGAUUAAGCAUUCCGCCUGGGGAGUACGGUCGCAAGAUUAAAACUCA